GGGGAAUAUUGCACAAUGGGGGAAACCCUGAUGCAGCGACGCCGCGUGAGUGAAGAAGUACUUCGGUAUGUAAAGCUCUAUCAGCAGGGAAGAAGAUGACGGUACCUGACUAAGAAGCCCCGGCUAACUACGUGCCAGCAGCCGCGGUAAUACGUAGGGGGCAAGCGUUAUCCGGAUUUACUGGGUGUAAAGGGAGCGUAGGUGGUGCGGUAAGUCAGAUGUGAAAGCCCGGGGCUCAACCCCGGGACUGCAUUUGAAACUGCCGUGCUAGAGUGCAGGAGAGGUAAGUGGAAUUCCUAGUGUAGCGGUGAAAUGCGUAGAUAUUAGGAGGAACACCAGUGGCGAAGGCGGCUUACUGGACUGUAACUGACACUGAGGCUCGAAAGCGUGGGGAGCAAAC
Molecule: ribosomal RNA, 400 nt
Filed under: uncultured bacterium
Lineage: Bacteria
Description: bacterial SSU rRNA
Rfam family: Bacterial small subunit ribosomal RNA
Source: RNAcentral